AUGGUGGUGGCCAUCCCUGUGAUCACAGCAGCCACGACCACAUUGGUGGCCAUUUCCAUGACCAUGGUAGCCAUGACGAUGCUGGUGGCCAUCCCCAUGACCACAGCAGCCAUGACCUCAUUGGUGACCUUCACUAUUGCUACGAUGACUUUGGUGGCCAACUCCAUGACCACGGUAUCCACAUCCAUUCUGGUGGCCAACUCCAGGACUGCAGUCGCCACAACCACUUUGGUUGCCACCUCUGUGACCAUGGCAGCCAUGACCAUGUUCGUGGCCAUCUCCAUGACCACAGCAGCCACGACCACUUUGGUGACCUUCUCUGGAGCCACGAUGACUUUGGUGGCCAACUCCAUGACCAUGGUAGCCACAUCCAUUCUGGUGGCCAUCUCUGUGACCAUGGUCGUCACAAUCAUGUUGGUGGCCAUCUCCAUGAGCACGGUAGCCACAUCCAUUCCGGUGGCCAACUCCAGGACUACAGUAGCCACAACUACUUUGGUUGCCACCUCUGUGACCAUGGUAGCCAUGACCAUGCUGGUGGCCAUCACCAUGACCACAGCAGCCAUGACCUCAUUGGUGACCUUCACGGUUGCCACAACCAUUUUGGUGGCCAACUCCAUGACCAUGGUAGCCACAUCCAUUCUGGUGGCCAUCUCCCGGUCUGCAGUAGCCACAGCCACUUUGGUGGCCAUCUCCAUGACCACAGCAGCCACAACCACUUUGGUGGCCAUUUCCAUGACCAUGGUAGCCACAACCACAUUGGUUGCCAUCCCCGUGACCAAGGUCACACAACCGUGCUGGUGGCCAUCUCAUCCCUGUGACCAAGGUAGCCAUGACCAUGCUGGUGGCCAUCCCCAUGACCACGGUAGCCACAUCCAUUCUGGUGGCCAUCUCCAGCAGUACAGUGGCCACAACCACUUUGGUGGCCAUCUCCAUGACCACGGUAGCCACAUCCGUACUGGUGGCCAUCCCCAGGACUAUGGUAGCUACAACCUCUUUGGUGGCCAUCCCUGUGACCAAGGUCACACAACCAUGGUGGUGGCUAUCCCCAUGACUACAGCAGCCACAACCACUUUGGUGGCCAUUUCCAUGACCAUGGUAGCCACGACCACGUUGGUUGCCAUCUCUGUGACCAAGGUAGCUACAGCCAUGCUGGUGGCCAUCUCAUCCCUGUGA
Molecule: long non-coding RNA, 1173 nt
Filed under: Numida meleagris (helmeted guineafowl)
Lineage: Eukaryota; Metazoa; Chordata; Aves; Galliformes; Numididae
Description: lncRNA (ENSNMEG00000002651.1)
Source: RNAcentral